GCGGCAUUAGCUCAGCUGGAUAGAGCGUUUGACUACGAAUCAAAAGGUCAUAGGUUCGAAUCCUAUAUGCCGCACCA
This 77-nucleotide transfer RNA is filed under the name Collinsella sp. CAG:289. RNAcentral's name for it is "transfer RNA-Arg(ACG)". It matches the Rfam family "tRNA". Rfam says of the family: Transfer RNA (tRNA) molecules are approximately 80 nucleotides in length. Their secondary structure includes four short double-helical elements and three loops (D, anti-codon, and T loops). Lineage: Bacteria; Bacillati; Actinomycetota; Coriobacteriia; Coriobacteriales; Coriobacteriaceae. The record is from RNAcentral. RNAcentral also lists the same sequence under 7 other names.